Molecule: long non-coding RNA, 615 nt
Organism: Vicia villosa (hairy vetch)
Lineage: Eukaryota; Viridiplantae; Streptophyta; Magnoliopsida; Fabales; Fabaceae
Exons: 2
Source: RefSeq, a predicted model, not a curated record
UAAUGAUUUAUUUAAAAGAUACAUAAUUAAAACUCUAAUGUUAGGAAAGGUUUUUUUAUAACUUCAUACGUGCAAAAAACAAUUUCUUAAUUAUUUUGGUAGAAUAUAAGUCGUAUACAUUAUAAAAUAGUGAUCAAAUUUCAUUCUCUUAUACACCCAAAUAAGAAAUAACAUGGCUGCAAUUUUCAAAUUUGUUUAUGCUAUAAUUCUAUUUUACUCACUAUUUUUUGCUGCAAUGAAUGUUAAUGCAGCAAUUAAAUGUGAGACAGAUUCCAAUUGUCCACAAAACAUGUGCAUGGCUCCUAGUGUUGUGAGGUGUAUGGGUUCAACAUGUACAUGUGUUGGUUCUCGUGUAUUGCCUUGGGAAGUGAGACAAGGCCCAAACGAAAAAUCAAUAAGCCUCUUUGGAUAAAGGACCACAUAGUCCAUUAACUUAUUAUUAAUUUUGGCAAUUUAUGUUUUCCUCCAAGUGGCUUAGGCCCAAAACUAUUUUAAGUAAUUUUUGUAUCUUAGGCCCAAUAGCCUUUUAUUCUUGUAAACCUAAUAUUUAUAAUGUUGGCUGGAGUUGUAAUAUAUAAGCAUAUUCAUAUCUAUCUUUAAUUUUUAUAGUUUAAA